AACGCACCUUGCGCCCCUUGGCUAUUCCGAUGGGCAUGCCUGUUUGAGUAUCAUGAACACCUCAACUCUCAUGGUUUGCCGUGAUGAGCUUGGACUUUGGGGGGUUUUGCUGGCCUUUGCUCAGCUCCCCUGAAACAGAUCAGCUUGCCAGUGUUUGGUGGCAUCACGGGUGUGAUAACUAUCUACGCUUGUGAUUGUUUGCCAAGUAACCUUUGGUAACGGAGGUUUGCUGGUGCUUAUAAAUGUCUCUCCUCAGCGAAGACAGCUUUUGACCGUUCGAUCUCAAAUCAGGUAGGACUACCCGCUGAACUUAA
This 314-nucleotide unclassified non-coding RNA is filed under the name uncultured fungus. Its description in RNAcentral is "partial contains 5.8S ribosomal RNA, internal transcribed spacer 2, and large subunit ribosomal RNA". Lineage: Eukaryota; Fungi. The record is from RNAcentral.